GACGAACGCUGGCGGCGUGCUUAACACAUGCAAGUCGAACGGAAAGGCCCUGCUUUUGUGGGGUGCUCGAGUGGCGAACGGGUGAGUAACACGUGAGUAACCUGCCCUUGACUUUGGGAUAACUUCAGGAAACUGGGGCUAAUACCGGAUAGGAGCUCCUGCUGCAUGGUGGGGGUUGGAAAGUUUCGGCGGUUGGGGAUGGACUCGCGGCUUAUCAGCUUGUUGGUGGGGUAGUGGCUUACCAAGGCUUUGACGGGUAGCCGGCCUGAGAGGGUGACCGGCCACAUUGGGACUGAGAUACGGCCCAGACUCCUACGGGAGGCAGCAGUGGGGAAUAUUGCACAAGGGGCGGAAGCCUGAUGCAGCAACGCCGCGUGCGGGAUGACGGCCUUCGGGUUGUAACCCGCUUUCGCCUGUGACGAAGCGUGAGUGACGGGAAUGGGUAAAGAAGCACCGGCGAACUACGG
This 467-nucleotide ribosomal RNA is filed under the name uncultured bacterium. RNAcentral's name for it is "partial 16S ribosomal RNA". It matches the Rfam family "Bacterial small subunit ribosomal RNA", at positions 28 to 506 of the family's 1533-position model. The record is from RNAcentral.